Molecule: long non-coding RNA, 856 nt
Filed under: Homo sapiens (human)
Lineage: Eukaryota; Metazoa; Chordata; Mammalia; Primates; Hominidae
Description: HSALNT0325030
Source: RNAcentral
GGAACCAAGAACCACAACAUUCUUUUCCUUUCUGAGGUCGUAGCCGCUGUGAGUCUUAGCUUCUCUCUGCAUCUGUGAGGUCAUCUCCCUUUCUGUAGAGCAUAUGAUCUUUACUGAUGCACCUGCAUCUGGCUCAGACUUAGUCACCCAGCCCUGAAAUUAUAUCAUAUCACAGGUCAUUCUCUGAGUCUCUUAAUGUGAGGCCUUGAGAGAAAAAUCAACAUGCCUUCUGUUGGAUGAAGACCAAUCAGCAAGAUGGUGGUGAUUGUGGUACAGGUCUGUAACAAUGCAAAAGUCAGAACUGGUUGAAAUGUAAAAUUCAGUCCCCUUUUUAUAGAGUCGUUGCAAGGAUCAAGUGAGUUGAAAUCCGUAAGGUGCUUGGGAGAAUGCCUGGCGCCUGGAAGCACUGUAUAUUCCAAAAAAGGAGAUAUAAACAUGACCAUAAAAGACAUGAAAAGAUGUUUAACCCCAUUAGUCAUCGUGGAAAUGCAAAUGAAAACCACCAUACAGACACUAGAGUGGUUUAAAUUUGAAUGACUUCCAACACCAAAUGCCAGACAGGACAUAGAGCAACUGGAUGUCUCAUGCUCACAGGCAGAAGGGAAAACUACUGUGUGUGACAGGAAGAUGGACUUACCCAACCUUCAGCAUUCUCAAUCUCUUGUCUAUUAACAUGUGUUUGAAACAUUAUGCAUUCAAAGCAAACAUCUGGGAGGAAGAUGGGAGAAGCCUUCUUGCCCCUGUUCUACAGAAGUAAUUGAAGUUCAUGACAUUCAAGCUCAUUCACCAGUAAAUGAAUUUGGGUCAUGCUUUAUGUCUGUUGUAAAUACAGUGAAAAUUUGCCUCUGUUCCUGAA